This 30-nucleotide small RNA is filed under the name Bombyx mori (domestic silkworm). RNAcentral's name for it is "ovarian small RNA-17874". The record is from RNAcentral. Lineage: Eukaryota; Metazoa; Arthropoda; Insecta; Lepidoptera; Bombycidae.
GUGCAGCCGUGCACGCUGCGAACAGCGUAU